UUACGAGUGGAACGACACGGCCGGCGC
RNAcentral lists this non-coding RNA (27 nucleotides) under Bombyx mori (domestic silkworm). The record is from RNAcentral. Lineage: Eukaryota; Metazoa; Arthropoda; Insecta; Lepidoptera; Bombycidae.